GCUGCCUCUUCCUACGGCGGGCUCAAUGAGAAAGAAGGCCUGGGCAGCUACGUCAGCAAGGCCGAGGAUAUGCUCCGUAAGUACGGCAGCGGCGGAAGCGGCGGAGGAAGCGGCGGCGAUACUGCGGGAAAGGAAAAAAAGCAGCAUGAAUCGGGUAGCGGUGAGCAUGAGACCAAGAAGAAACCCAGUAAAACUGAUGAGGAUGAGGGCGGAUCUGGUGGAUUUGGAGAUUAUUUUAAGAUGGCUCAGGGUUUCUUAAAGGGUUGAUUAAGAAAAAGUGAUUUGAUUAAUCACUAAUUAUGUUAUGUGGUCU
RNAcentral lists this long non-coding RNA (313 nucleotides) under Prunus persica (peach). RNAcentral's name for it is "long non-coding RNA (PPER_LNC001292)". Lineage: Eukaryota; Viridiplantae; Streptophyta; Magnoliopsida; Rosales; Rosaceae. The record is from RNAcentral.